RNAcentral lists this ribosomal RNA (497 nucleotides) under uncultured bacterium. RNAcentral describes it as "partial 16S ribosomal RNA". It matches the Rfam family "Bacterial small subunit ribosomal RNA", at positions 28 to 507 of the family's 1533-position model. The record is from RNAcentral.
GAUGAACGCUGGCGGCGUGCCUAAUACAUGCAAGUCGAGCGAACGGACGAGAAACUUGCUUUUCUGAUGUUAGCGGCGGACGGGUGAGUAACACGUGGAUAACCUACCUAUAAGACUGGGAUAACUUCGGGAAACCGGAGCUAAUACCGGAUAAUAUUUUUAAACGCAUGUUUCAAAAGUGAAAGACGGUCUUGCUGUCACCUAUAGAUGGAUCCGCUCUGCAUUAGCUAGUUGGUAAGGUAACGGCUUACCAAGGCAACGAUGCAUAGCCGACCUGAGAGGGUGAUCGGCCACACUGGAACUGAGACACGGUCCAGACUCCUACGGGAGGCAGCAGUAGGGAAUCUUCCGCAAUGGGCGAAAGCCUGACGGAGCAACGCCGCGUGAGUGAUGAAGGUCUUCGGAUCGUAAAACUCUGUUAUUAGGGAAGAACAUAUGUGUAAGUAACUGUGCACAUCUUGACGGUACCUAAUCAGAAAGCCACGGCUAACUACGUG